RNAcentral lists this ribosomal RNA (520 nucleotides) under uncultured Glomus. RNAcentral's name for it is "SSU rRNA". It matches the Rfam family "Eukaryotic small subunit ribosomal RNA", at positions 569 to 1089 of the family's 1831-position model. Lineage: Eukaryota; Fungi; Glomeromycota; Glomeromycetes; Glomerales; Glomeraceae. The record is from RNAcentral.
AGCAGCCGCGGUAAUUCCAGCUCCAAUAGCGUAUAUUAAAGUUGUUGCAGUUAAAAAGCUCGUAGUUGAAUUUCGGGAUCAAUAUAUUGGUCGUGCCUCCGGUACGUACUGGUAUCGUUGAUUUCUACCUUCUGACGAACUAUGAUGUCAUUAAUUUGGUGUCAUGGGAAAUCAGGACUGUUACUUUGAAAAAAAUUAGAGUGUUUAAAGCAGGCACACGCUUGAAUACAUUAGCAUGGAAUAAUGAAAUAGGACGUUUGACCCUAUUUUGUUGGUUUCUAGGAUCGACGUAAUGAUUAAUAGGGAUAGUUGGGGGCAUUAGUAUUCAAUUGUCAGAGGUGAAAUUCUUGGAUUUAUUGAAGACUAACUACUGCGAAAGCAUUUGCCAAGGAUGUUUUCAUUAAUCAAGAACGAAAGUUAGGGGAUCGAAGACGAUCAGAUACCGUCGUAGUCUUAACCAUAAACUAUGCCGACUAGGGAUCGGAUGAUGUUAAUUUUUAAUGUACUCAUUCGGCGUCCG